AUCCAGCUGAUAAGUCCAAAAAACAGAACGAAAUGCACAUCUUGGAU
Non-coding RNA from Schistosoma mansoni, 47 nucleotides. The record is from Rfam. NCBI's taxonomy places the organism in Eukaryota, Metazoa, Platyhelminthes, Trematoda, Strigeidida, Schistosomatidae.